GCCGGGUGUGGUGGCGGGCGCCUGUAAUCCCAGCUACUCGGGAGGCUGAGGCAGGAGAUUCACUUGAACCCAGGAGGUGGAGGUUGCACUGAGCUGAGAUCAUGCCACUGCACUCCAGCCUGGGUGACAGAGUGAGACUCCGUCUCAA
This 148-nucleotide non-coding RNA is filed under the name Pan troglodytes (chimpanzee). Lineage: Eukaryota; Metazoa; Chordata; Mammalia; Primates; Hominidae. The record is from Rfam by way of RNAcentral.